GACGAACGCUGGCGGCGUGCUUAACACAUGCAAGUCGAACGGAAAGGCCCUGCUUGCAGGGUACUCGAGUGGCGAACGGGUGAGUAACACGUGGGUGAUCUGCCCUGCACUUCAGGAUAAGCCUGGGAAACUGGGUCUAAUACCGGAUAGGAGCCAUUUUGAGUGUGAUGGUUGGAAAGUUUUUUCGGUGUAGGAUGAGCUCGCGGCCUAUCAGCUUGUUGGUGGGGUAAUGGCCUACCAAGGCGGCGACGGGUAGCCGGCCUGAGAGGGUGGACGGCCACAUUGGGACUGAGAUACGGCCCAGACUCCUACGGGAGGCAGCAGUGGGGAAUAUUGCACAAUGGGCGCAAGCCUGAUGCAGCGACGCCGCGUGGGGGAUGACGGCCUUCGGGUUGUAAACUCCUUUCGCUAGGGACGAAGCUUUUUGUGACGGUACCUAGAUAAGAAGCACCGGCUAACUACGUG
RNAcentral lists this ribosomal RNA (465 nucleotides) under uncultured bacterium. RNAcentral describes it as "partial 16S ribosomal RNA". It matches the Rfam family "Bacterial small subunit ribosomal RNA", at positions 28 to 507 of the family's 1533-position model. The record is from RNAcentral.